This 360-nucleotide ribosomal RNA is filed under the name uncultured bacterium. RNAcentral describes it as "bacterial SSU rRNA". It matches the Rfam family "Bacterial small subunit ribosomal RNA", at positions 29 to 416 of the family's 1533-position model. The record is from RNAcentral.
AACGAACGCUGGCGGCAUGCCUAACACAUGCAAGUCGAACGAGACCUUCGGGUCUAGUGGCGCACGGGUGCGUAACGCGUGGGAACCUGCCUUUAGGUUCGGAAUAACUCAGAGAAAUUUGAGCUAAUACCGGAUAAUGUCUUCGGACCAAAGAUUUAUCGCCUUUAGAUGGGCCCGCGUUGGAUUAGCUAGUUGGUGGGGUAAAGGCCUACCAAGGCGACGAUCCAUAGCUGGUCUGAGAGGAUGAUCAGCCACACUGGGACUGAGACACGGCCCAGACUCCUACGGGAGGCAGCAGUGGGGAAUAUUGGACAAUGGGCGAAAGCCUGAUCCAGCAAUGCCGCGUGAGUGAUGAAGGCC